AUUGAACGCUGGCGGCAUGCCUUACACAUGCAAGUCGAACGGCAGCACGGGGGCAACCCUGGUGGCGAGUGGCGAACGGGUGAGUAACAUAUCGGAACAUACCCUAGAGUGGGGAUAACGUAGCGAAAGUUACGCUAAUACCGCAUACGAUCUAAGGAUGAAAGUGGGGGAUCUUCGGACCUCAUGCUCAUGGAGUGGCCGAUAUCUGAUUAGCUAGUUGGUGAGGUAAAGGCUCACCAAGGCGACGAUCAGUAGCUGGUUUGAGAGAACGACCAGCCACACUGGAACUGGGACACGGUCCAGACUCCUACGGGAGGCAGCAGUGGGGAAUUUUGGACAAUGGGGGCAAGCCUGAUCCAGCAAUGCCGCGUGAGUGAAGAAGGCC
RNAcentral lists this ribosomal RNA (385 nucleotides) under uncultured bacterium. RNAcentral's name for it is "bacterial SSU rRNA". It matches the Rfam family "Bacterial small subunit ribosomal RNA", at positions 30 to 416 of the family's 1533-position model. The record is from RNAcentral.